ACGCUCGACACCUACGGGAGGCAGCAGUGGGGAAUAUUGGGCAAUGGGCGCAAGCCUGACCCAGCAACGCCGCGUGAAGGAAGAAGGCCCUCGGGUUGUAAACUUCUUUUGACAGGGACGAAACAAAUGACGGUACCUGCCGAAUAAGCCACGGCUAACUACGUGCCACAGCCGCGGUAAUCUGAGCGGGCUGGCAAGGC
This 200-nucleotide ribosomal RNA is filed under the name uncultured bacterium. Its description in RNAcentral is "partial 16S ribosomal RNA". It matches the Rfam family "Bacterial small subunit ribosomal RNA", at positions 328 to 539 of the family's 1533-position model. The record is from RNAcentral.